CCCCUGAUGGUGUAGUUGGUUUAUCACGUCUGACUGUAAUGUUUCUUGCUAUCAGAAGGUCCGCGGAUCGACUCCGCGUCGGGGGA
This 86-nucleotide transfer RNA is filed under the name Talaromyces marneffei ATCC 18224. RNAcentral describes it as "tRNA-Tyr". The record is from RNAcentral. Lineage: Eukaryota; Fungi; Ascomycota; Eurotiomycetes; Eurotiales; Trichocomaceae.